UGGGCGUAAGCGCACGCAGGCGGUCUGUCAAGUCGGAUGUGAAAUCCCCGGGCUCAACCUGGGAACUGCAUUCGAAACUGGCAGGCUAGAGUCUUGUAGAGGGGGGUAGAAUUCCAGGUGUAGCGGUGAAAUGCGUAGAGAUCUGGAGGAAUACCGGUGGCGAAGGCGGCCCCCUGGACAAAGACUGACGCUCAGGUGCGAAAGCGUGGGGAGCAAACAGGAUUAGAUACCCUGGUAGUCCACGCCGUAAACGAUGUCGACUUGGAGGUUGUGCCCUUGAGGCGUGGCUUCCGGAGCUAACGCGUUAAGUCGACCGCCUGGGGAGUACGGCCGCAAGGUUAAAACUCAAAUGAAUUGACGGGGGCCCGCACAAGCGGUGGAGCAUGUGGUUUAAUUCGAUGCAACGCGAAGAACCUUACCUACUCUUGACAUCCAGAGAACUUUCCAGAGAUGGAUUGGUGCCUUCGGGAACUCUGAGACAGGUGCUGCAUGGCUGUCGUCAGCUCGUGUUGUGAAAUGUUGGGUUAAGUCCCGCAACGAGCGCAACCCUUAUCCUUUGUUGCCAGCG
This 568-nucleotide ribosomal RNA is filed under the name Enterobacter hormaechei. RNAcentral describes it as "bacterial SSU rRNA". It matches the Rfam family "Bacterial small subunit ribosomal RNA", at positions 555 to 1123 of the family's 1533-position model. The record is from RNAcentral. Lineage: Bacteria; Pseudomonadati; Pseudomonadota; Gammaproteobacteria; Enterobacterales; Enterobacteriaceae.